UGUUAUCCGCGUCGGACCGUGUACAAGUCUCCUGGAAUGGAGCGUCAUAGAGGGUGAGAAUCCCGUCCAUGACACGGACGCCCCGAUGCUUUGUGAGGCACUCUCAAAGAGUCGAGUUGUUUGGGAAUGCAGCUCAAAAUGGGUGGUAAAUUCCAUCUAAAGCUAAAUAUUGGCGAGAGACCGAUNGCGAACAAGUACCGUGAGGGAAAGAUGAAAAGCACUUUGGAAAGAGAGUUAAACAGUACGUGAAAUUGUUGAAAGGGAAACGCUUGAAGUCAGUCGCGUCCCGUGGAACUCAGCCUGGCUUCGGCCUGGUGUACUUUCCAUGUGGACGGGUCAACAUCAAUUUCGGCCGGUGGAAAAGGGCGAGGGGAAUGUAGCGUUGUUUCGGCGACGUGUUAUAGCCUCUUGUCGUAUACNCUGGCUGGGAUUGAGGACUGCAGCACGCCCUUGUGGCCGGGGGUUCGCCCCACGUAAGGUGCUUAGGANGUUGNCAUAAUGGCUUUNAGCGACCCGUCUUGAAACACGGACCAAGGAG
This 538-nucleotide ribosomal RNA is filed under the name Tropicoporus linteus. Its description in RNAcentral is "partial large subunit ribosomal RNA". It matches the Rfam family "Eukaryotic large subunit ribosomal RNA", at positions 159 to 673 of the family's 3401-position model. Lineage: Eukaryota; Fungi; Basidiomycota; Agaricomycetes; Hymenochaetales; Hymenochaetaceae. The record is from RNAcentral. RNAcentral also lists the same sequence under 1 other name.